GGGGAUAUAGCUUAAUGGUAGAACUUGUGGUUAGCAUGCACAAGACCCUAGGUUUGAUCCCUAGUAUUUGUG
Molecule: transfer RNA, 72 nt
Filed under: Marmota marmota marmota (Alpine marmot)
Lineage: Eukaryota; Metazoa; Chordata; Mammalia; Rodentia; Sciuridae
Also listed under: 1 other name
Rfam family: tRNA
About the family: Transfer RNA (tRNA) molecules are approximately 80 nucleotides in length. Their secondary structure includes four short double-helical elements and three loops (D, anti-codon, and T loops).
Source: Rfam by way of RNAcentral